AUUUAUUCGUUCUCAAACUAAAGAUAAGAAAAAUACCUGAAUCAGUGAAAAGCUGGGGGUAGCUACUAUGCAUGUUAGACUCGAUCUACCAAAUAGCCUCCUCUACAAAAUCAAAAAAGGUUCUAAGAUUGCCUCUCUUCCCAAACCUUAUCACGCCCUUCAUGGGUGACACACGAAGGAAGACCAUAUCACCAAUACAAAAUUUAAGGCACGAAACCCAUGG
RNAcentral lists this long non-coding RNA (223 nucleotides) under Capsicum annuum. RNAcentral's name for it is "long non-coding RNA (CANN_LNC002087)". The record is from RNAcentral. Lineage: Eukaryota; Viridiplantae; Streptophyta; Magnoliopsida; Solanales; Solanaceae.